GAUGAACGCUGGCGGCGUGCCUAACACAUGCAAGUCGAGCGAUCUUCUUCGGAAGAGAGCGGCGGACGGGUGAGUAACGCGUGGGUAACCUGCCCUGUACACACGGAUAACAUACCGAAAGGUAUGCUAAUACGAGAUAAUAUACUUUUAUCGCAUGGUAGAAGUAUCAAAGCUCAGGCGGUAUAGGAUGGACCCGCGUCUGAUUAGCUAGUUGGUAAGGAACGGCUUACCAAGGCGACGAUCAGUAGCCGACCUGAGAGGGUGAUCGGCCACAUUGGAACUGAGACACGGUCCAAACUCCUACGGGAGGCAGCAGUGGGGAAUAUUGCACAAUGGGCGAAAGCCUGAUGCAGCAACGCCGCGUGAGCGAUGAAGGCCUC
This 380-nucleotide ribosomal RNA is filed under the name uncultured bacterium. RNAcentral's name for it is "bacterial SSU rRNA". It matches the Rfam family "Bacterial small subunit ribosomal RNA", at positions 28 to 418 of the family's 1533-position model. The record is from RNAcentral.